Long non-coding RNA from Marmota monax (woodchuck), 7223 nucleotides. RefSeq lists it as uncharacterized. NCBI's taxonomy places the organism in Eukaryota, Metazoa, Chordata, Mammalia, Rodentia, Sciuridae. The record is from RefSeq and is a predicted model, not a curated record. The transcript has 9 exons.
AGGAACCCCGCCAGCAAAGCAGGAGUUGCAGCAAAGCCUUGGGAGGUGGCGAAGCUGCCGGAAUCUCUGAGAUGCGGAGGAGGAUGGCGCUGGAUUGGAGUGUCAUUGUCCUGACAUCAUCUUCCAGUAAACAUUAAAAUGACUACUUCCAGAUAUCUUCAACUCAUGUCUCAGUGGAGUAAUGGCAACCUGUGUGGAACCUGGCAUGAUGCCUCUCUCCUAUUCUUACCAGUGGACGUGAAAUUUGGUGCUUAAUUCUUCCAGACUCUCAAUUUCAUCUUCUUAAAACAGAGUGUCUUCCAAAAUUUAUGUCAAUAUUCUUUGGGCCAAUGGUGCAAUUAGAUUGUGUUAUAGUGGAACAUCUUUCUCUUAGACAGGGCCAUACAUAUGGGUGGCCCAUUCAGCCAAGAUUUUUCUUUCCCAGAGACUACCAGUAAGAUCAAUGUAGUAUGGUCCAAGUGUUAAAGAACUAGUAACAGAUAUAAAAAGCAGGCAGACAAGAGGAUCAUCAAAAAGAUGGCUGACAGAUGGGAACCUUUAAAACAGACAAAGUUGCACAUACAGAUUUUUUCUUAGCUUACAGUCAGGGCAGGUAGAGGAAUAAGCUACUGCAGCUGCCUCAGAUUCUUCUUACCAUCAUUGUUGGCCACAUUCCUAGAGUCAGAAGUCCAGGAAUGUGGGCCUUUAGGAGGAGUAAAGUUUAAGUCAGAAUAUUGAACCCUCCUUGGUUCCAAAUAACCAAGAAGAUCAUCUUUUUAGUUUUUUCUCCUUUUAUCCUUGUGUGUAGAACAAUACAUGAAAGUAGAAUUUUAAUCCUUAAUCAUCUUGCUUUUAGUGUAGACCCAGAAACAGCAAUCUUAAACUUUCCAAUGAUCAACAAUAUUUUAAAAUUAUAAAUGUUUAUCCUUUUUGUGUUAAAUCUUAUUUUCCCAUUGUUUUAGAAUAAUUUUUAUGAAUUUAUUACUUAAUACUUGUCUUUAGUUUUUUUGGUGCUAUAUAUGCAAUUUAAAAAUGUCCAAAAUGUUACAAACAUAUGAUCAUUAUGUAAAGAUUGAAAAAUACAGUUAAAGAAAACAGUCUUGUCAUCCUCCAUUAUGCCACUUAGAUAUGGUAUCCUUCAAAGGAUGGCCUGUUCUCACUGAGUUUAAAAUCUUUUUUUCUUUUUUUGGUGAUAUUCUGGAUCUAACCCAGGACAUGCUUUACCACUAAGCCAUAUACCAGGCACUCCACUUAUUCUAGUUUGUGCAGUUUUAACUUAGGUUAUUCAUGAAAAUCAAGUUUAGUUACCAUUUUAAGCCAAUUUUAUGUUGAAGAAAAAUCCUAGAAGCAAUUGACAUUAAACAUUUUAUAGAAAACAAUACCCUUCAUUAGCUGAUCACCUAGGAAAAAAUGUGUGGAUUAGUAAAUUCAACAACAUUUUAAAAUUUUUAUCUCUUUAAUCAUUUUAAGUUAUGUGAAAUGAAAGGUAUUUGUAUCCAUUCUUUUAAUUUUAUGAACACUCUUUAUUUUUUUAAAAUAUUUAUUUUUUUACUUGUAGUUGGACACAGUAGCUCUAUUUCGUUUAUUUUUAUAUGGUGCUGAGGAUCGAACCCAGGGCCUGGUACAUGCAAGGUGAGCUCUCUACCCCUGAGCCACAACCCCAGCCCCUUAUGAGUGCUCUCAAAUGUCAAUUUUUGGUGUUUUUCAAGCACACAUGUAGACACAGUAUACAAUAUACCAGUGUGCUCACAUAUACAUGAAAAUCGGCAGAAAACAAAGACUUUAUUGCUUUUUGCCUGUAUGACUUCCACAGGUGGGAUAAAAAAGAGUUAUAAGGAUUUAUUAUAAUAGACUGUCAGAUUUAGCCCUUUAGAAAUUAAAAUAGAACCUUGUGAAGUUUUAAACAUUGGGAAUGAAGUUUUGUUAGUCAUGGUGGAUGUUGAAGUCAAAGGUUCAGCUGGCCUUGCCUCCUUGAGGAGGCAGAUUUACUGCCACCAUCACUACUGUUUAUUUUCCUGCUUAGGACUCUUCAAAGGAGAAGAUGACUUUCUUUUUCUAGUGUAUUUGAGAGCUUGAACAGCUGGCCUCUGAAUAAAGACAGCAGAAAGAAAAACAGAGGGCAAUAAACUUCAGUUAGACAAAAUAGGACUAAUUGGUUCAGGAGAAAAGGUGAAUUUAUCAUAAAAAAUUGAGCUCAGAAAAAGAUGAAGACAAAAAGUUAACAUGGUUAUUAUUACUCUAGAAGGGGCAUGCAUAAAAUAACUUUAUCAGACCACAGUUGGAUCCGAUUAUAGAGUCAGCCCAGAUAUUUAAGCAUGUGAAGUCCUCAGAAAAAGGGUUUUAAAGAAAAAUAAAACUUGCAAGAAGUUUAACAUUGCUUCUUUUGCUUCCCCUCUUUCCUGGGAGCUCAGCCUAUACUCAAGCUGUGUGUUCCGUGUCCCCCCCUUCCCGUUUAGAGCUGUAGUUUCCGCUCUGAACUGCCUUGGAGCCUACUAAGCUACUGCCUUAGCCCCUUCCUUUCCUUUGCAGCUGCAGUUUCCACUCCAAAUUGUCAUGGAGCAUAUUCAUGCUGCUCUGAGAGGUGAUAAGACUCUUUCUAUCCAGAGGGAUACGCCUGACUUGGGUCCUGGAACCUACCUUUUCCUGUGGUCAGUGGAUCCUGGUGAGUUGGUCUGUCCUUCCUCUGAGUCUAGUUGGGGUUCAGCCAUUCUGGGGGAACUGGAGCAUCAGCCUAAAGGAACCCAGAAAAGUCUUCAGGUGGUGUGCACUCUUCUGUCAGUUCCGGUGCUCCCUCUCUACCAUCAAAUCAAAUGGCAGUUCCAAGGACCUGAAUGGUUGGAAUCCCACUGAGACCUCUGGAAAAUGGUAUGGCAGUUACACUUAACAAGAGACCAAGCAUCACUCAGAGGGUUGGAGAAUCCGGGUUUUUUUAUACUGGCAGACCCAGAUGAGGUGGUGCUCUGAAGAUCUGGGCCCUGAGCUGAGGUAACAUGGGGCUUUUAUAGGAAAUUUGACAUCAUUUCUUAACCAUUACAACAUUGGUGGGCUUGGAUUCUUGGUCUACAUGACCAAAGACCAUGCACAGGGAAUUUAAGGUAAGUAGUUCCCAGGUGUAGAACAAAGACAUUAAACACCUAUGUCAUUGUGAAAUGGCCUUCACCAUAGGGAGCAAUAACUCAAGAUGACUUGAGUUCAUCUCCCUAAGAGCUAAAGUUCUAAGAAUUAAGCCAAUGAGAUUUUAGUUUAGUCAGCAGUUAAGUGGCAUAGUAACAUAUAAUUUAUACUAGCAGUUAAGUGGUGUAGCUAUAUUCCUACAGAGUUUAGAAAGGUACAAAGUAUAGUAAAAUCAACCCUUUCCAUAGGCUUUGGUUUUUCAUCAUUGUUCUUAUACCUUCAUUUUAUAAUCAGGUCUGGUAUCUGUCACACCACCUUUCAAUUCUGCUUUUCCUUUACUGCCUCCUUUUUGUGUUGUGAGGAGACCAGGAAUCACUGUCAAGCUCCCUUCAGUCAUCUUCUCCAUUUAUUUAAGGCUUGAAAUACUUCAGCUGUGAAGUCUUCACAACUGGUGCAGCAUUGUCUCCUAAAAACAAUCAUGUAAUCUUGGAAUGGGAUUCUUCCCUCUGAGAUAUCAGGAAAACUUGGUCUAUGCCAUUAUCUACAUCUGGAUUCUUGACAUGGGGAAACUGGCCUUGCUGAGAAUCUCACUGAGUUGCUGUCUGGCCUCAAAAUUGUGAUCCUUCUGCUUCAGCCUCCUGAGUUACUAUAAUUACAGUUUAAAACCUGCUUUUUUGGAAGUAAGAAUAACUAUUCCUGCUUGCCUUCCUUAAACUUACAUUCUGUGUACGUCUUUACCUGUGAGUGAAAUUACCUCAGUCGGGCAGGAGUUGAAUCCUAAUAGUAGUCACAUAAGCUUAGAGUGGAUCUUUCCCAACUCCAGAUUUAACGUGCUCCAACAUCUAUAUCUGGAUUCCUGAACCUGAGUAAUUCUUAUUACAUUCACCACCAUGUUACUCUGGAAUGAAGAAACAAAGAGUACAAAAGUGCCACUCUGCAUGUACAGCAAUUUUUCCACUGACCCAAGAGAAGGGAUCACAGGUAAAUGACAAAGGUCAGGUGGACUGGAUCAGGCAUGCCAGAAACAAAAGAAAGAACAAAAGGAAAAACAUAACACCGAAGUUAGCAAUAGGCCGGAUACAAGAAUACCCAAGUAAGUAGGACAUAGAGUGACCCAAUUCAAAAUGGUAGGAGCAUUAACUUGAGAGCUAAGGAUUAAGGGAGGGCAAGUGAUAGACAAUGAACUAUACUAACUUGAGCUCAUAGGAAUAGAGGCGACAGUGUUGAGUACCACAUUCCCAAUAUAACUUCAUGAAAGCACAGCAGAUAUGAGUUCUCACAACCUGCUCAACCACCUGUGAGCAGAUUUCACAGAGGCUCAUCUGACAAUGUGAAUUUUCAGAAAGAUGAAAUUGCAAGCCUCCCAAAGUCACACUGCAUCUUGAGACAAGAGCACAACAUCCUGGCUCCACAAUCUAGCCUUAAUGGAAGUUAUUGGUCAAAGGAAGAAUGGUGCAUGCAUUUCAGAUCAUAACCUGCUAUUACAUUGAGUAUUCUUAAAAACUGAAAUUCUAGGUGCCAAUAUAUUAUAAAUUGUGUGAGAUUAUUCCUAAUGAGAUAUAUUAAUCAUGGAACACAAAGGCCAGUUCUGUAUACCAUGUACCCAAUAUGUGUUGUUCACAGAAGCAAGAGGAAAGAUCUAAAAUUUUAUGAAAAUCUUAAUACAUCUACAUUUGCAGUCUUCUUCAUAAAGAGACUUGCAUGAUAACUGUCCAUGUGAGUAGCAAAAUAAAGGUAAAGAAUAAAUAGAUAUAGGAUUGCUAUGGGUUGGAGAAAUGAAUUUUGAAUGUCACUUAAAGGGAGCAUUGCUCAUAAGUUUGGGGCAGAAAUUCUGAGUACGUAGAUUUUUCCAUCUUUACAAAGCUGCCUCUCCAGAGCAAUCUUAGAAACAUUUUGUCAUUUCUGUUUUCCUUUUGAAUGAGUUUUUCAACCAUAGUUUGUUAAAUUAGCAUUCUAUAUAUGUUGAGGGAUUUUUAUUUGUAAUUUGUUUUUUAGGUCUCCCAUCAGUGUCUAUAAACUCUAGCCCCACUCUGAUUGGAUUAGAGUGGAUUUGGUCCUAGGUAUUUAUGGGUCUUUCAUAGGUGAUGUGGUUUAAAUAUGAGGUAUCCUCUAUCACCUCAUGUGUAAGGCAAUGUAAGACAUUUCAGAGGUAAAAUGAUUAGAUUAUGGAAGCUAAACAUGAUCAUUGAUGGACUAACUGGAUGGUAACUGUAGGCAGGUAGGGUGUAGCCGGAGGUGGUGAUCAAUGAGGGCAUGACAUUGGAUUUUAUAUUUUAUCCCAGGUUGGUACAGCACUUUGUUUAUGUCUCUUUCUAUAUCUCUCUCUGUCUCUGUCUCUCUGUCUCUCUUUCUCUUUCUCUCUCCAUAUUCCUCUCUCUCUACAUUUCCCUCUCCCCUCCCUUUCUUUGCUCUUUCUUGUUGUCAUGCCCCGAGGUGCUUUCUUGUGCCACACACUUUCACCAUGACAUUCUGCCUCACCUUGGUCUCCAAGCUACAGAGUUAGCCAAUGGUAGACUAAACCUCAAAAACCAUAAGCCAAAAUAAACCUUUCCUAUUCUAAUUGUUCUUGACAGGUUUCUGAUCACAACUAUAUAAAAGCUAAUCAAAAUGAUGGGAUGCUUCUUUAACCUGGUGGAUGAACUCAUACCACUAUGUCUUAUCCAUGUCAAGAUUCAUUUACAUAGGACAAUUAUUUACAUAGCAGAUAUCCUUUUGGCUUUUGUAUAAUCUGUGUUCACUCUAUUCCUACCAAGAUAGACACUGUCUAGGAGAGCCUUUACUAGAAAAUAAGUUACUGUUAAGUAUGUUGGUAAUACAAAGUUCAGAGGAGAAAAAAUAAUACGUUUCUUUAUUGCUAGAUCCCAGUGAGAAGUGGACAGCAUGCCCCACAGUGUUUAUAGGAAGUCAGACAUAAACCCCACAGAACAGAGGAACAGUGAGAAAAGAGAGAAACAAGAGAUACCAGUGUGCUAUAGCCUUCAUGUGGCACAGGAUAUUUUGAGCAUGUUUCUCAAGGAGAGUCAUAAUUGGUGAUUUCCAGGAAGCAAGCACAUUUUACAUGGAAUCACACUGUAUAUGAGAACGGGUCACUGGAAUAUCUCAUCAUCCUUGUAGGAAAUUGGAGCCAGCAUACCUGUAAACUGCCACAUCUACCUGUCCCCUGGAAGUUGUCACCAUGAGGUGGUUUUAUGAAGUGAUGCAAGAUAAAUAAAUAUAUACAUUACUAUAAGCUCAUACUAGCAAUUUGUUUUAUUCAUAUGUGAAGCAGUUUGUAGUUCUUUUCCUCCUUUAAGCUCUUUAGUGGAAGAGAAAGAGAACUAUAAACUGUUUCAUGGAUGUCUAUACCAAAUUUUUGGUAUGAGCAAGUUAGAUAUGUAUACAAAAAUGUAUGUCAAGGCAAUGUAAAAUUAUUAGAAUUCACUACAGUUAAACUUGAAAUUCUAGUAGUUCACUAAUAACUUCAUCUUUAUUCCUGAUGGAAGGUAAAUAACAUUGGUCAAUUUAUAUAAAACCGUAUUUUAGAAUGUUUUCUCAAUAAUAGAUAAUAUAGAAUCACUGAGAAAUGGUAAGUUUCAGAGAAAAGUAAAGUAUUCCAUAGAUCCAAUAGUGUACAUUUUCCUUUCUUUCCAAUAAAGAUACAUCUUGAAAUUGACAGUAGGAACACUGUUGGCUAGAAAGCUCAUGGUGAUUGUGAUAGUGCUCAGAUGCACAUACAUAAAUUUAGUCUAAAAAUCUUGUUUGUUAAAAAUUAAAUUAUAAAUCAUGUUAACUUAUGACUACACACACACACACACACACAUACACACAAACAAAUCUCUUCUGUUGUCACCUUCUGGUGACUGUAACUUUAAAACAUGUAGAAACAGUGUCCAUAGAGUAGAAAGAAUUUUGGAAAAUAUAGCACAAGUCUCUCAAGAAUAGGCUUGGGAGGCUGAGACAGGAGGAUUAUGAGUUCAAAGCCAGCCUCAGCAAAAGUGAGGCACUAAGCAAGUCAGUGAAACCCUGUCUCUAAAUGAUAUACAAACAGGGCUAGGGAUGUGGCUCAGUAUUUAAGUGUCCCUGGGUUCAAUCCCUGGUAUCAAAAAAAAAAAAAAAAAAGCCCUAUCACCUGUGCUUCUGAUUAAUAGAGA